RNAcentral lists this long non-coding RNA (1055 nucleotides) under Lepisosteus oculatus (spotted gar). RNAcentral describes it as "lncRNA (ENSLOCG00000021671.1)". The record is from RNAcentral. Lineage: Eukaryota; Metazoa; Chordata; Actinopteri; Semionotiformes; Lepisosteidae.
CUGCCAUUUUCCCAGUCCUGGACAGUUUGGUUUUGCUUUUCGACCCCAGGUUUCCGGACCAGACUGUCCUGUUACAUGCCAGGCUGCUCUCAGCUCUCUAGACACAGUGCUGCUCACGUAGGGUGUGCUGGGGAGGGGGCGAUUAGAUCCCCAAACCCUAAUGGUGGGACCCCCCCUUCCCCCUCGGGGAUGAGAGAGGUACAGGUCUUGGGAGGAGGGUGCGAGAGGAGAGAGACAGACAGGCACAGACGUGUUACCUGCAGCACUGCCGGAGAGGCGCCAGGAUGGAGGGCUCGUCGCGGGAGUGGCGUCCAAACCUGCGGCACAGGUGAGCACAGGUGCGCUCGGGUGAGCACAGGUGCGCUCGGGUGAGCACAGGUGCGCACGGGUGAGCACAGGUGAGCACAGGUGCGCUCGGGUGAGCACAGGUGCGCUCGGGUAGGCACAGGUGAGUACAGGUGCGUUCGGGUGGGCACAGGUGAGCAUAGGUGGGCUCAGGUGGGCACAGGUGAGCUCGGGUGGGCACAGGUGAGCACAGGUGCGCUCGGGUGGGCACAGGUGCGCACAGGUGAGUACAGGUGAGUACAGGUGCGCUCGGGUGGGCACAGGUGAGCAUAGGUGAGCUCGGGUGGGCACAGGUGAGCACAGGUGCGCUCGGGUGGGCACAGGUGAGCAGGGGGCGUGUGGGGGUGGGCUGUGGCUGCACUGCACACACGCAGCACCAGCGCCCACAGGGACCCCCCGGGAGGAGAGGGGAGGGACUGUUGCAGGAAGAAGCAUCACUUGUCAACCGCAACACAAUCGCGAGCAAGAGGUGAAGGAGGUCUUGAAGACCGGCCCAGGUCUCGCCAGCAGAGACGGAUUCAGGUACAGCAGGUUCAGAUUGAGCCACACGAAAGGAACAGGGCUCUCGGUUUACUGGCAGGGCCGACCCGAGCUGACGGCCGCACCCUCUCACCUUCUCCUGUAAGGCAACGAGCCGCUGCUGACCAAUCCUGAACCUCGACACUGCACGGAACACUUGCUCGCCUCAACCUGUUAACUUCUUAAUCUCU